Non-coding RNA from Diabrotica virgifera virgifera (western corn rootworm), 72 nucleotides. The record is from the annotation of a RefSeq genome assembly. Lineage: Eukaryota; Metazoa; Arthropoda; Insecta; Coleoptera; Chrysomelidae.
UUGAUGGUGGCUCAGUGGUAGAGCAUUAGACUGCAGAUCGAGAGGCCCCGAGUUCGAAACCCGGCUGUUAAG